RNAcentral lists this ribosomal RNA (253 nucleotides) under uncultured bacterium. Its description in RNAcentral is "partial 16S ribosomal RNA". It matches the Rfam family "Bacterial small subunit ribosomal RNA", at positions 524 to 776 of the family's 1533-position model. The record is from RNAcentral.
UACAUAGGGUGCAAGCGUUGUCCGGAAUUAUUGGGCGUAAAGAGCUCGUAGGUGGUUCGUUACGUCGGAUGUGAAACCCUGAGGCUCAACCUCAGGCCUGCAUUCGAUACGGGCAGACUAGAGUGUGGUAGGGGAGACUGGAAUUCCUGGUGUAGCGGUGAAAUGCGCAGAUAUCAGGAGGAACACCGGUGGCGAAGGCGGGUCUCUGGGCCAUUACUGACACUGAGGAGCGAAAGCGUGGGGAGCAAACAGG